GUAGCGGUGAAAUGCGUAGAUAUUAGGAAGAACACCAGUGGCGAAGGCGCUCUACUGGGCCAUAACUGACACUGAUGGACGAAAGCUAGGGGAGCGAAAGGGAUUAGAUACCCCUGUAGUCCUAGCUGUAAACGAUGGACACUAGGUGUUGGCCGUAUCGACCCGGUCAGUAUCGAAGCAAACGCGUUAAGUGUCCCGCCUGGGGAGUACGCACGCAAGUGUGAAACUCAAAGGAAUUGACGGGGGCCCGCACAAGCGGUGGAGUAUGUGGUUUAAUUCGAUGCAACGCGAAGAACCUUACCAGGGAUUGACAUCCUACGAAUCACUUUGAAAGGAGUGAGUGCCUUCGGGAACGUAGAGACAGGUGGUGCAUGGCUGUCGUCAGCUCGUGUCGUGAGAUGUUGGGUUAAGUCCCGCAACGAGCGCAACCCUCGUCCUUAGUUGCCAUCAUUAAGUUGGGCACUUUAAGGAGACUGCCGGUGACAAACCGGAGGAAGGUGGGGAUGACGUCAAGUCAUCAUGCCCCUUACAUCCUGGGCUACACACGUACUACAAUGCAACGGACAAAGGGCAGCCAACUAGCGAUAGUGCGCAAAUCCCAUAAACCGUUGCUCAGUUCAGAUUGCAGGCUGCAACUCGCCUGCAUGAAGGCGGAAUCGCUAGUAAUCGCAGGUCAGCAUACUGCGGUGAAUACGUUCCCGGGCCUUGUACACACCGCCCGUCACACCAUGGAAGUUGGCCACGCCCGAAGUCGUUACCCCAACCGUUUACGGAGGGGGACGCCGAAGGCAGGGCUGAUGACUGGGGUGAAGUCGUAACAAAGGUAACC
RNAcentral lists this ribosomal RNA (829 nucleotides) under uncultured bacterium. RNAcentral's name for it is "bacterial SSU rRNA". It matches the Rfam family "Bacterial small subunit ribosomal RNA", at positions 675 to 1501 of the family's 1533-position model. The record is from RNAcentral.